GCGGCGUGCCUAAUACAUGCAAGUCGAGCGAACAGACGAGGAGCUUGCUCCUUUGACGUUAGCGGCGGACGGGUGAGUAACACGUAGGUAACCUACCUAUAAGACUGGGAUAACUUCGGGAAACCGGAGCUAAUACCGGAUAAUAUUUCGAACCGCAUGGUUCGAUAGUGAAAGAUGGCUUUGCUAUCACUUAUAGAUGGACCUGCGCCGUAUUAGCUAGUUGGUAAGGUAACGGGCUUACCAAGGCAACUGAUACGUAGCCGACCUGAGAGGGUGAUCGGCCACACUUGGAACUGAGACACGGUCCAGACUCCUACGGGAGGCAGCAGUAGGGAAUCUUCCGCAAUGGGCGAAAGCCUGACGGAGCAACGCCGCGUGAGUGAUGAAGGUCUUCGGAUCGUAAAACUCUGUUAUUAGGGAAGAACAAACGUGUAAGUAACUGUGCCGUCUUGACGGUC
This 458-nucleotide ribosomal RNA is filed under the name Staphylococcus hominis. Its description in RNAcentral is "bacterial SSU rRNA". It matches the Rfam family "Bacterial small subunit ribosomal RNA", at positions 39 to 477 of the family's 1533-position model. The record is from RNAcentral. Lineage: Bacteria; Bacillati; Bacillota; Bacilli; Caryophanales; Staphylococcaceae.